GUGGGGAAUAUUGGGCAAUGGGCGAAAGCCUGACCCAGCAACGCCGCGUGAAGGAAGAAGGUUUUCGGAUCGUAAACUUCUAUCCUUGGUGAAGAUAAUGACGGUAGCCAAGAAGGAAGCCCCGGCUAACUACGUGCCAGCAGCCGCGGUAAUACGUAGGGGGCAAGCGUUGUCCGGAAUGAUUGGGCGUAAAGGGCGCGUAGGCGGCCCGGUAAGUCUGAAGUGAAAGUCCUGCUUUUAAGGUGGGAAUUGCUUUGGAUACUGUCGGGCUUGAGUGCAGGAGAGGUAAGCGGAAUUCCCGGUGUAGCGGUGAAAUGCGUAGAGAUCGGGAGGAACACCAGUGGCGAAGGCGGCUUACUGGACUGUAACUGACGCUGAGGCGCGAAAGUGUGGGGAGCAAACAGGAUUAGAUACCCCUGUAUUCC
RNAcentral lists this ribosomal RNA (425 nucleotides) under uncultured bacterium. Its description in RNAcentral is "partial 16S ribosomal RNA". It matches the Rfam family "Bacterial small subunit ribosomal RNA", at positions 354 to 796 of the family's 1533-position model. The record is from RNAcentral.